This 104-nucleotide ribosomal RNA is filed under the name uncultured bacterium. RNAcentral describes it as "partial 16S ribosomal RNA". It matches the Rfam family "Bacterial small subunit ribosomal RNA", at positions 1379 to 1482 of the family's 1533-position model. The record is from RNAcentral.
CCUUGUACACACCGCCCGUCACACCAUGGGAGUGGGUUGCACCAGAAGUAGUUAGCCUAACCGCAAGGAGGGCGAUUACCACGGCAGGGUUCGUGACUGGGGUG